GAACGAAUGCCAGCUGGUGGAUCCCUAUGCGCGACGGAACUGUGGUUGGCCGGGCAUUACUGCAGCUGAGUGUCAGGAGCGAGGAUGCUGCUGGGAUAAUUCAAUACGAGGAGUAAAAUGGUGCUUUAACAGCACAGGUUAUGAAGAAACAACCACCAUUCCUGACACCAGUGUGACAACAGAGCACGGGUUACCGUUAUCGCGAAGCCCCCCAAACGGACCCUAGAAACUCGUGUACACCCGAGCUGCCCUUCUACUGUGGCUUUUUGUAAAGGAGGUCGUAUUAUGCCUAAAAAAUUGCUUUAACUAUUAGUUCAUUAACUUGUUCAUCUAUUUAGACAAUCAUCCACUGGUAAAGUAAAAA
Long non-coding RNA from Branchiostoma floridae (Florida lancelet), 364 nucleotides. RefSeq lists it as uncharacterized. The transcript has 2 exons. NCBI's taxonomy places the organism in Eukaryota, Metazoa, Chordata, Leptocardii, Amphioxiformes, Branchiostomatidae. The record is from RefSeq and is a predicted model, not a curated record.